RNAcentral lists this ribosomal RNA (451 nucleotides) under uncultured bacterium. RNAcentral's name for it is "bacterial SSU rRNA". It matches the Rfam family "Bacterial small subunit ribosomal RNA", at positions 46 to 518 of the family's 1533-position model. The record is from RNAcentral.
ACCUAACACAGUCGACAGUCGAGCGUAUCUCGUACGGAGAAGAGGCGGCGACGGGUGAGUAAACGCGUGGGUAAACCUGCCUCAUACACAUGGAUAACAUACCGAAAGGUAUGCUAAUACAGGAUAACAUAAGAGAUUCACAUGGAUUUCUUAUCAAAGCUCCGGCGGUAUGAGAUGGACCCGCGUCUGAUUAGCUAGUUGGUAAGGUAACGGCUUACCAAGGCGACGAUCAGUAGCCGACCUGAGAGGGUGAUCGGCCACAUUGGAACUGAGACACGGUCCAAACUCCUACGGGAGGCAGCAGUGGGGAAUAUUGCACAAUGGGCGAAAGCCUGAUGCCAGCAACGCCGCGUGAGUGAUGAAGGCCUUCGGGUCGUAAAACUCUGUCCUCAAGGAAGAUAAUGACGGUACUUGAGGAGGAAGCCCCGGCUAACUACGUGCCAGCCGCUGC